Molecule: ribosomal RNA, 750 nt
Filed under: uncultured bacterium
Lineage: Bacteria
Description: bacterial SSU rRNA
Rfam family: Bacterial small subunit ribosomal RNA
Source: RNAcentral
CGAUUAGGCAGCAGUGGGGAAUAUUGGUCAAUGGGCGCAAGCCUGAACCAGCCAUGCCGCGUGCAGGAUGACGGUCCUAUGGAUUGUAAACUGCUUUUGUACAGGAAGAAACAGUUCUACGUGUAGAACCUUGACGGUACUGUAAGAAUAAGGAUCGGCUAACUCCGUGCCAGCAGCCGCGGUAAUACGGAGGAUCCAAGCGUUAUCCGGAAUCAUUGGGUUUAAAGGGUCCGUAGGCGGGUUAAUAAGUCAGUGGUGAAAGCCCUACGCUCAACGUAGGAACGGCCAUUGAUACUGUUAGUCUUGAAUUAUUAGGAAGUAACUAGAAUAUGUAGUGUAGCGGUGAAAUGCUUAGAGAUUACAUGGAAUACCAAUUGCGAAGGCAGGUUACUACUAAUGGAUUGACGCUGAUGGACGAAAGCGUGGGUAGCGAACAGGAUUAGAUACCCUGGUAGUCCACGCCGUAACGAUGGAUACUAGCUGUUCGGAGCAAUCUGAGUGGCUAAGCGAAAGUGAUAAGUAUCCCACCUGGGGAGUACGUUCGCAAGAAUGAAACUCAAAGGAAUUGACGGGGGCCCGCACAAGCGGUGGAGCAUGUGGUUUAAUUCGAUGAUACGCGAGGAACCUUACCAAGGCUUAAAUGUAGUUUGACAGAUUUGGGAACAGAUUUUUCUUCGGACAAUUACAGGUGCUGCAUGGUGUCGUCAGCUCGGGCCGGGAGGGUCAGGUAGUCCUAUACGAGCGCACCCU